RNAcentral lists this ribosomal RNA (429 nucleotides) under Acidobacteriota bacterium. Its description in RNAcentral is "Acidobacteria bacterium partial 16S ribosomal RNA". It matches the Rfam family "Bacterial small subunit ribosomal RNA", at positions 355 to 776 of the family's 1533-position model. The record is from RNAcentral. Lineage: Bacteria; Pseudomonadati; Acidobacteriota.
UGGGGAAUUUUGGACAAUGGGGGAAACCCUGAUCCAGCCAUCCCGCGUGUGCGAUGAAGGCCUUCGGGUUGUAAAGCACUUUUGGCAGGAAAGAAACGUCAUGGGUUAAUACCCCGUGAAACUGACGGUACCUGCAGAAUAAGCACCGGCUAACUACGUGCCAGCAGCCGCGGUAAUACGUAGGGUGCAAGCGUUAAUCGGAAUUACUGGGCGUAAAGCGUGCGCAGGCGGUUCGGAAAGAAAGAUGUGAAAUCCCAGAGCUCAACUUUGGAACUGCAUUUUUAACUACCGGGCUAGAGUGUGUCAGAGGGAGGUGGAAUUCCGCGUGUAGCAGUGAAAUGCGUAGAUAUGCGGAAGAACACCGAUGGCGAAGGCAGCCUCCUGGGAUAACACUGACGCUCAUGCACGAAAGCGUGGGGAGCAAACAGG